CCCCGAUGACCCCAACCCCCGAUGACCCCCCGAUGACCCCGUGACCCCCCGAUGACCCCGUGACCCCACCGGACGUAGAAUCCCCUCUUGGGGUCGCUGCGCAGGGACGCGGAGCCGGAGCCCAAACUGCUGCUGAGCAGCUGCUCUCUCAAGUCGUGGAUCUUGGACUCGAAGCGGCUGUACUCUGCAAGAGGGCAAAGGGCAAAGGUCACACGGGGGUCAUAGGGUCAAGGGGUCAUGGGGUCAAUGGGGUCAGGGGGGGGCAGAGGUAUCAGGGCAUCGUGGGCUGCAGUGGCAAUGGGGAGAAUCUAUGGGGCAGGAUCUAUGGGGCAGAGUGGAUGAGUGGGGCAGGAUCUAUGGGGCAGAGUGGAUCUAUGGGGCAGGAUCUAUGGGGCAGAGUGGAUCAGUGGGGCAGGAUCUAUGGGGUGGGAUCUAUAGGGUGAGAUCUAUGGGUUGGGAUCUAUGGGGCAGGAUCUAUGGGGCAGAGUGGAUCAGUGGGGCAGGAUCUAUGGGGCAGGAUCUAUAGGGCAGGGGGAUCUAUGGGUCAGGAUCUCUGGGUCAGGGUGUAUCUAUGGGUCAGGAUCUAUGGGGCAGGGUGUAUCUAUAGGGCAGGGUGUAUCUAUAGGGCAGGAUGUAUCUAUGGGGCAGAUCUAUAGGGCAGGGUGUAUCUCUGGGUCAGAUCUAUGGGGCAGGCUGUAUCCGUGUGCCCCACACCGUCAGGUUUGUACUGGGCCACGAUGGCGACGCUCUGCCCCGCGUUCUUCAGCGCCACCGCCGCCUGCUCGUGGGUUCGCACCCGCGGGAGGUCAAACGGCCGUUACGCUGGGGGGGGGGGACAAUGGGGUCAAUGGGGGGUUAUAUGGGGGGGGAAGUUAGUAACUGGGGGUGGUAAACAUGGAGACCAAUGGGGGGUAAUAUGGGGGGGGGAGUU
RNAcentral lists this long non-coding RNA (931 nucleotides) under Coturnix japonica (Japanese quail). Its description in RNAcentral is "lncRNA (ENSCJPG00005002684.1)". The record is from RNAcentral. Lineage: Eukaryota; Metazoa; Chordata; Aves; Galliformes; Phasianidae.